RNAcentral lists this ribosomal RNA (438 nucleotides) under uncultured Erysipelothrix sp. RNAcentral describes it as "bacterial SSU rRNA". It matches the Rfam family "Bacterial small subunit ribosomal RNA", at positions 940 to 1382 of the family's 1533-position model. The record is from RNAcentral. Lineage: Bacteria; Bacillati; Bacillota; Erysipelotrichia; Erysipelotrichales; Erysipelotrichaceae.
UGUGGUUUAAUUCGAAGCAACGCGAAGAACCUUUACCAGGUCUUGACAUACCGGGCAAAGCCUCAGAGAUGAGGAAAUAGUUAUGCCGGAUACAGGUGGUGCAUGGUUGUCGUCAGCUCGUGUCGUGAGAUGUUGGGUUAAGUCCCGCAACGAGCGCAACCCUUGUCUUCAGUUACCAUCAUUCAGUUGGGGACUCUGGAGAGACUGCCGGUGACAAACCGGAGGAAGGUGGGGAUGACGUCAAAUCAUCAUGCCCCUUAUGACCUGGGCUACACACGUACUACAAUGGCGUAUACAACGGGAAGCGAAAUGGUGACAUGGAGCAAAUCUCACAAAGUACGUCUCAGUUCGGAUUGAAGUCUGCAACUCGACUUCAUGAAGUCGGAAUCGCUAGUAAUCGCGGAUCAGCAUGCCGCGGUGAAUACGUUCUCGGGCCUU